CUGUAACUUGAUAUGGGAUACGUGUGUAAAGACCUCCCUUGGCGAAAGGUGCAAAGUAUCAUAUUAUUCAUAGGAAAAGAGUAAUCCUCCAUAUCACGUUAGUGGUUUUACAACACGAAUGAAUGUGGCUGUCUAGGAGAAGGCACAUGGGGAAGGCUGCAGCUGUAGAAUUCAAAUAUUAUUCUGGGUGACAUUUUUGAAUCUCUGCUCCAGGAGGAAAGUUACACAAGUUGAGAAAAGAGUAAUCAUAUCGAGAGAUCAGCACUGGAAAAUGCUUUCUGGGUCAGAGUUACAAUACCUACCAAAAUGGUGGUUCAAGGAGAUCUGAGAUCCUGAUGUUCCAGAGCUGUCUGUACACCCAGCAUCCAUAGUUGUUUAAUGAA
Molecule: non-coding RNA, 383 nt
Organism: Anas platyrhynchos (mallard)
Lineage: Eukaryota; Metazoa; Chordata; Aves; Anseriformes; Anatidae
Source: RefSeq, a predicted model, not a curated record